GACGAACGCUGGCGGCGUGCUAAUACAUGCAAGUCGUACGCUUCUUUUUCCACCGGAGCUUGCUCCACCGGAAAAAGAAGAGUGGCGAACGGGUGAGUAACACGUGGGUAACCUGCCCAUCAGAAGGGGAUAACACUUGGAAACAGGUGCUAAUACCGUAUAACAAUCGAAACCGCAUGGUUUUGAUUUGAAAGGCGCUUUCGGGUGUCGCUGAUGGAUGGACCCGCGGUGCAUUAGCUAGUUGGUGAGGUAACGGCUCACCAAGGCCACGAUGCAUAGCCGACCUGAGAGGGUGAUCGGCCACAUUGGGACUGAGACACGGCCCAAACUCCUACGGGAGGCAGCAGUAGGGAAUCUUCGGCAAUGGACGAAAGUCUGACCGAGCAACGCCGCGUGAGUGAAGAAGGUUUUCGGAUCGUAAAACUCUGUUGUUAGAGAAGAACAAGGAUGAGAGUAACUGUUCAUCCCUUGACGGUAUCUAACCAGAAAGCCACGGCUAACUACGUGCCAGCAGCCGCGGUAAUACGUAGGUGGCAAGCGUUGUCCGGAUUUAUUGGGCGUAAAGCGAGCGCAGGCGGUUUCUUAAGUCUGAUGUGAAAGCCCCCGGCUCAACCGGGGAGGGUCAUUGGAAACUGGGAGACUUGAGUGCAGAAGAGGAGAGUGGAAUUCCAUGUGUAGCGGUGAAAUGCGUAGAUAUAUGGAGGAACACCAGUGGCGAAGGCGGCUCUCUGGUCUGUAACUGACGCUGAGGCUCGAAAGCGUGGGGAGCAAACAGGAU
RNAcentral lists this ribosomal RNA (778 nucleotides) under Enterococcus faecium. RNAcentral describes it as "bacterial SSU rRNA". It matches the Rfam family "Bacterial small subunit ribosomal RNA", at positions 28 to 778 of the family's 1533-position model. The record is from RNAcentral. Lineage: Bacteria; Bacillati; Bacillota; Bacilli; Lactobacillales; Enterococcaceae.